GAAGCAGUGUACGUCAGACUUCCAAGAAAAGCUCGCAAUGUCAUAAAUAAAAAGUGCCUGUACCAUAACCGACACAGGUGGGUAGGUAGAGUAUACUAAGGGGCGCGAGAUAACUCUCUCUAAGGAACUCGGCAAAAUGACUCCGUAACUUCGGGAGAAGGAGUGCCUUAUUUAUAAGGUUGCAAUAACAAGAUCCAAGCAACUGUUUAUCAAAAACACAGGUCUCCGCUAAGUCGUAAGACGAUGUAUGGGGGCUGACGCCUGCCCAGUGCCAGAAGGUUAAAGAAGUUGGUUAGUGUAUGCGAAGCUGAUGACUGAAGCCCUGGUGAACGGCGGCCGUAACAAUAACGGUCCUAAGGUAGCGAAAUUCCUUGUCGGGUAAGUUCCGACCCGCACGAAAGGCGUAAUGAUUUGGAUACUGUCUCGGAGAGAGGCUCGGUGAAAUAGACUUGUCUGUGAAGAUGCGGACUACCUGCACCAGGACAGAAAGACCCUAUGAAGCUUUACUGUAACUUGAAAUUGGAAUUGGACUUUGCUUGCGCAGUAUAGGUGGGAAGCGUUGAAGAUAUUCUUGCGGGAGUAUUGGAGCUAUCAGUGAGAUACCACUCUUGUAAUGUUAGAUUUCUAACUUUGAACCAUAAUCUGGUCAAAGAACAGUUUCAGGUGGGCAGUUUGACUGGGGCGGUCGCCUCCCAAAUGGUAACGGAGGCGUACAAAGGUUUCCUCUGAACGGAUAGAAAUCGUAUCUAGAGUGUAAAGGCAUAAGGAAGCUUGACUGUGAGACCUACAAGUCGAGCAGGGACGAAAGUCGGUCUUAGUGAUCUGACGGUACUGAGUGGAAAGGCCGUCACUCAACGGAUAAAAGUUACUCUAGGGAUAACAGGCUGAUCUCCCCCAAGAGUUCACAUCGACGGGGAGGUUUGGCACCUCGAUGUCGGCUCAUCGCAUCCUGGGGCGGUAGUACGUCCCAAGGGUUGGGCUGUUCGCCCAUGAAAGCGGUACGCGAGCUGGGUUCAGAACGUCGUGAGACAGUUCGGUCCAUAUCCGGUGUAGGCGUUAGAAUAUUGAGAGGAGCCUUCUUUAGUACGAGAGGACCGAGAAGGACACACCGCUGGUGUACCAGUUAUCGUGCCAACGGUAAACGCUGGGUAGCUAUGUGUGGAGUGGAUAACCGCUGAAAGCAUCUAAGUGGGAAGCCCACCUCAAGAUGAGUAUUCCC
Molecule: ribosomal RNA, 1219 nt
Filed under: metagenome
Description: bacterial LSU rRNA
Rfam family: Bacterial large subunit ribosomal RNA
Source: RNAcentral